UGGCAAAGCAUUCAUGCUCCGUGUUCUACUAUAUCACAAGAACACAAUUCAGUACAAUUAGUGCAGAGAAGCAUAGUUCCCCAAAGGGGAAAGUUGUAUACAUCCUAAACAAAUAGACACAAAACAUAUCUCUAAACAAGUAUAAACCAAAAGAAAUAACUAUAAAAGCAGUUAAAAGUCCAGAGAGAUAAAGCAACGCAUACAUUUUAACUUAGUAUGCUAAUCACAAUUUUUACCAACCCUACCACAUUUCUUGAAAAGCAACUAACAAAAAAUUUCCUCCUCCAUAUUCCAAUAGUUUCUGAAACCAAUAAAGAUAUUAGACUGAAUGUCGCAAGGUGGAAAAUUAAAAUGAGUAAUUAAGAAGAACUAGCUCAAAGGAAGCCAUCACUACAUACAAUAGAAUGAAACUCCAAAAACCAGUAUCUACCUGUAAUUACUGUUUUAAGAAUAAUUUAUUCAGCUAAGAAAUGUGAUUGAAUACGUGUUAGCAAAAUAUGGAAUAAAACACUUCAUUAGACAUUCUGGGUCCAGAUUCUUGCAAAAAUGUUGAGAAUAUAUUAAAAAUU
Molecule: long non-coding RNA, 569 nt
Organism: Perognathus longimembris pacificus (Pacific pocket mouse)
Lineage: Eukaryota; Metazoa; Chordata; Mammalia; Rodentia; Heteromyidae
Exons: 2
Source: RefSeq, a predicted model, not a curated record